Molecule: long non-coding RNA, 543 nt
Organism: Zophobas morio
Lineage: Eukaryota; Metazoa; Arthropoda; Insecta; Coleoptera; Tenebrionidae
Exons: 6
Source: RefSeq, a predicted model, not a curated record
AAGAAGGAGCCCGUUGGAAUUCGGCUUUACUUAGUUUAGUAAAUAAAACGUUGAGAUCGGUAUUUGGAUUAGAAUUACUGGAAAUUCAAUCUGGGACUGGGCAAGUCAAAAUUUAUGGAGUUUUUAAUGUUUUACAGAAUAGGGGAAGUGUGAUUAAAUAUUCCGAAGAUGAAUUUGCUCAACUGGGCUUACUUUUUACGAUACUUUCGUUAAUCUUGUUAAAAAACAAUAAAGUUCCUGAAAAAGAGUUAUGGAGUUUACUGUCAAUUGUCGGCAUUGAAAAAGAUCUUGACCACGAAAAUUUUGGGAUUCCCAGAAAACUUCUCAAUCACUUUGAAAAGCAAAAGUACAUUUCCUCUUCUAAAAAUAAUUUAAACGAAAUCGAGUAUAGUUGGGGCGCCAGAUCACUUUACGAAAUCAGGAAUCCCCAAAAACUUAUUAUAAAAGCUGCAAAAAUUUAUGGGAUAGAUCCUCAUGAGUGGCUGAGACACUACAAGCAACGCAAAAUUUUUAAGGUCAAUCAAUGAUCGGACUAAUGCUAUA